RNAcentral lists this ribosomal RNA (253 nucleotides) under uncultured bacterium. Its description in RNAcentral is "partial 16S ribosomal RNA". It matches the Rfam family "Bacterial small subunit ribosomal RNA", at positions 524 to 776 of the family's 1533-position model. The record is from RNAcentral.
GACGAGGGGUCCUAGCGUUGUUCGGAAUCACUGGGCGUAAAGAGUAUGUAGGCGGCCUUGCAAGUCAGGUGUGAAAUCCCACGGCUCAACCGUGGAAUUGCAUUUGAAACUGCAGGGCUUGAAUAUGGAAGAGGGCAGUAGAAUUCCUGGUGUAGUGGUGAAAUACGUAGAUAUCAGGAGGAAUACCGGUGGCGAAGGCGGCUGCCUGGUCCAAUAUUGACGCUCAUGUACGAAAGCGUGGGGAGCAAACAGG